AUUGAACGCUGGCGGCAUGCCUUACACAUGCAAGUCGAACGGCAGCACGGGAGCAAUCCUGGUGGCGAGUGGCGAACGGGUGAGUAAUAUAUCGGAACGUGCCCAGUCGUGGGGAUAACGUAGCGAAAGCUACGCUAAUACCGCAUACGAUCUAUGGAUGAAAGCGGGGGAUCGCAAGACCUCGCGCGAUUGGAGCGGCCGAUAUCAGAUUAGGUAGUUGGUGAGGUAAAGGCGUCACCAAGCCGACGAUCUGUAGCUGGUCUGAGAGGACGACCAGCCACACUGGGACUGAGACACGGGCCCAGGACCUCCUACGGGAGGCAGCAGUGGGGAAUUUUGGACAAUGGGCGCAAGCCUGAUCAGCAAUGCCGCGUGCAGGAUGAAGGCU
Molecule: ribosomal RNA, 388 nt
Filed under: uncultured bacterium
Lineage: Bacteria
Description: bacterial SSU rRNA
Rfam family: Bacterial small subunit ribosomal RNA
Source: RNAcentral